Callithrix jacchus (white-tufted-ear marmoset) is the source of this 298-nucleotide unclassified non-coding RNA. It matches the Rfam family "Metazoan signal recognition particle RNA". Rfam says of the family: The signal recognition particle (SRP) is a universally conserved ribonucleoprotein. It is involved in the co-translational targeting of proteins to membranes. The record is from Ensembl. Lineage: Eukaryota; Metazoa; Chordata; Mammalia; Primates; Cebidae.
GCCGGGCGCGGUGGCGUGUGCCUAUAGUCUCAGCUACUUGGGAGGCUGAGGUAGGAGGAUUGCUUGAGUCUAGGAGUCCUGGGCUGUAGUGCACUAUGCAGAUCAGGUGUCCACACUAAGUUGGGCAUCAAUAUGGUGACCCUGGGAGCGGGAGACCACUACGUUGCCUAAGGAGGGGUGAACUGGUCCAGGUCAGAAGCAGAGCAGGUCAAAACUCCCAUGCUGAUCAGUAGUGGGAUUGCACCUGUGAAUAGCCACUGCACUCCAGCCUGGGCAACACAGCAAGAACCCAUCUCUA